This 341-nucleotide ribosomal RNA is filed under the name Escherichia coli. Its description in RNAcentral is "partial 23S ribosomal RNA". It matches the Rfam family "Bacterial large subunit ribosomal RNA", at positions 1209 to 1551 of the family's 2925-position model. Lineage: Bacteria; Pseudomonadati; Pseudomonadota; Gammaproteobacteria; Enterobacterales; Enterobacteriaceae. The record is from RNAcentral.
CGACGCUGAUGCGUUGUUGGGUAGGGGAGCGUUCUGUAAGCCUGUGAAGGUGUGCUGUGAGGCAUGCUGGAGGUAUCAGAAGUGCGAAUGCUGACAUAAGUAACGAUAAAGCGGGUGAAAAGCCCGCUCGCCGGAAGACCAAGGGUUCCUGUCCAACGUUAAUCGGGGCAGGGUGAGUCGACCCCUAAGGCGAGGCCGAAAGGCGUAGUCGAUGGGAAACAGGUUAAUAUUCCUGUACUUGGUGUUACUGCGAAGGGGGGACGGAGAAGGCUAUGUUGGCCGGGCGACGGUUGUCCCGGUUUAAGCGUGUAGGCUGGUUUUCCAGGCAAAUCCGGAAAAUC